GGUUCAAUUCCCGUCGUUCGCCGCGGAUGUGGCCAAGUGGAUCAAGGCAGUGGAUUGUGAAUCCACCACGCGCG
RNAcentral lists this transfer RNA (74 nucleotides) under Aglaonema modestum. RNAcentral describes it as "tRNA-His". Lineage: Eukaryota; Viridiplantae; Streptophyta; Magnoliopsida; Alismatales; Araceae. RNAcentral also lists the same sequence under 1 other name. The record is from RNAcentral.